UGCCGAUGAAGAGAAGAAAGCAAAGAAUAAGGAUCUGGCUGAGAAAUUACAUGCCAAGGUACAUGAGCAAAUGUCUCAGUCUCAGGUCGGCUCUAACACUCCUGUCCGGCUAAGCGGAGAGGAGGAGGACUCCAUCAUCGAGACGGUCAUUGGACCGAGUAGGAAGAACAGAUAGCGGUGGAGAGGAUCCGAGCAAAGGCCGCGAGUCUAGUAGCACCUACGAGUCUGCAGCACUACCAGGAACACCAAGAAGCAGUUCAUAUCAAGACUCGAUGGAGCAGUGGUUGAAAACGAUUGAAGAUUGACAGUCACAGCAAACAACAUAUCAAUGGAUUGCGGAGGAAGAAUGGAGGCGUCGGGAGCAGAGAGAAUUGGAGUUCACACAUUUCAUGUCGACUCUGCCUUAGGAGGCUCAGGAGGCAUAUAGAAGAUGGUUUAUAUCGGAUCAGGCCGGGACUUCUACAUAAGGUGCAGCCGGGGGUAGUCAUAGUGCAGCUGGUGUUGAGGAUGAUGAUGAUGAUCAGGAG
Molecule: long non-coding RNA, 527 nt
Organism: Asparagus officinalis (garden asparagus)
Lineage: Eukaryota; Viridiplantae; Streptophyta; Magnoliopsida; Asparagales; Asparagaceae
Exons: 3
Source: RefSeq, a predicted model, not a curated record